AACUUUUGACAACGGAUCUCUUGGUUCUGGCAUCGAUGAAGAACUCAGCGAAAUGCGAUAAGUAAUGUGAAUUGCAGAGUUCAGUGAAUCAUCGAAUCUUUGAACGCACAUUGCGCCCGUUAGUAUUCUGACGGGCAUGCCUGUUCGAGCGUCAUUUCAACCCUCAAGCACCGCUUGGCGUUGGCGGGCUACAGCGCUUUUAGUGCCGUAGCCGCCCAAAUAUAUUGGCGGUCCCGCCGUGGCUCCCCUUGCGUAGUAACUCACCUCGCACCGGGUCCAUGCGGCGGCUUGCCGUAAAACUCUCUUAUUUUAAAAGGUUGACCUCGGAUCAGGUAGGAAUACCCGCUGAACUUAAGCAUAUCAAUAAGCGGAGGCU
This 376-nucleotide unclassified non-coding RNA is filed under the name uncultured fungus. RNAcentral's name for it is "sequence contains ITS2". The stretch from base 1 to 154 matches the Rfam family "5.8S ribosomal RNA". The record is from RNAcentral. Lineage: Eukaryota; Fungi.